This is an unclassified non-coding RNA of Pongo abelii (Sumatran orangutan), 148 nucleotides long. It matches the Rfam family "Metazoan signal recognition particle RNA". Rfam says of the family: The signal recognition particle (SRP) is a universally conserved ribonucleoprotein. NCBI's taxonomy places the organism in Eukaryota, Metazoa, Chordata, Mammalia, Primates, Hominidae. The record is from Ensembl.
GCCAGGUGUGGUGGCUCACACCUGUAGUCCCAGCUACUUGGGAGGCUGAGGUGGGAGGAUUGCUUGAGCCCAGAAUGUCGAGGCUGCAGUGAGCUGAGAAGGUGCCGCUGCACUCCAGCCUGGGCAACAGAGUGAGACCCUGUCUCUA